Molecule: ribosomal RNA, 468 nt
Filed under: uncultured bacterium
Lineage: Bacteria
Description: partial 16S ribosomal RNA
Rfam family: Bacterial small subunit ribosomal RNA
Source: RNAcentral
GACGAACGCUGGCGGCGUGCUUAACACAUGCAAGUCGAACGGAAAGGCCCUGCUUUUGUGGGGUGCUCGAGUGGCGAACGGGUGAGUAACACGUGAGUAACCUGCCCUUGACUUUGGGAUAACUUCAGGAAACUGGGGCUAAUACCGGAUAGGAGCUCCUGCUGCAUGGUGGGGGUUGGAAAGUUUCGGCGGUUGGGGAUGGACGCGCGGCUUAUCAGCUUGUUGGUGGGGUAGUGGCUUACCAAGGCUUUGACGGGUAGCCGGCCUGAGAGGGUGACCGGCCACAUUGCGACUGAGAGACGGCCCAGACUCCUACGGGAGGCAGCAGUGGGGAAUAUUGCACAAUGGGCGGAAGCCUGAUGCAGCGACGCCGCGUGCGGGAUGACGGCCUUCGGGUUGUAAACCGCUUUCGCCUGUGACGAAGCGUGAGUGACGGUAAUGGGUAAAGAAGCACCGGCUAACUACGUG